GUAAAGAGGAAACCUUAAUGUAUUUCUAAAAUCUUUCUUAGAAAACAGAAUACGGCGGGCCUUUCGAGCCCGUGACCCGGGUUCAAAUCCCGGCCGCGGCA
RNAcentral lists this transfer RNA (101 nucleotides) under Saccharolobus solfataricus. RNAcentral's name for it is "tRNA-Leu (CAA) (tRNA-Leu-CAA-2-1)". It matches the Rfam family "tRNA", at positions 10 to 71 of the family's 71-position model. From Rfam's summary of the family: Transfer RNA (tRNA) molecules are approximately 80 nucleotides in length. Their secondary structure includes four short double-helical elements and three loops (D, anti-codon, and T loops). Lineage: Archaea; Thermoproteati; Thermoproteota; Thermoprotei; Sulfolobales; Sulfolobaceae. The record is from RNAcentral.